Molecule: ribosomal RNA, 888 nt
Filed under: uncultured euryarchaeote
Lineage: Archaea; Methanobacteriati; Methanobacteriota
Description: bacterial SSU rRNA
Rfam family: Archaeal small subunit ribosomal RNA
Source: RNAcentral
GGCACUGCUAUUGGGAUUCGACUAAGCCAUGCGAGUGGAGGGCGCGAUCGCGAGAUCGUGGCCCCGCAAAAGGCUCAGUAACACGUAGUUAAUCUACCCUCGAGUCGGGGACAAUCACGGGAAACUGUGGAUAAUCCCCGAUAGGUGAGAAUCACUGGAAUGUUUUCUCACUCAAAGCCCAGGCGCUCGAGGACGGGACUGCGACCUAUCAGGCAGUUGGUGGUGUAACGGACCACCAAACCAACGACGGGUACGGGCGAUGGGAGUCGGAGCCCGGAGAUGGGGACUGAGACAAGGCCCCAGGCCCUACGGGGCGCAGCAGGCGCGAAAACUCCGCAAUGCGCGCAAGCGUGACGGGGGAAUCCCAAGUGCCGAUGGCUUUGAUCGUCGGCUUUUCGGGAGUGUAAGGAGCUCCCGGAAUAAGGGCUGGGUAAGACUGGUGCCAGCCGCCGCGGUAAUACCAGCAGCCCGAGUGGUGGCCGGGUUAUUGGGUCUAAAGCGCUCGUAGCCUGGCUGAUAAGUCCUUUGUGAAAUCGGACGGCUCAACCGUUCGGCUUGCAAGGGAUACUGUCAGUCUCGAGGCCGGGAAAGGUCGGGAGUACUUUGGGGGUAGUAGUGAAAUGCUGUAAUCCUCAAAGGACUACCAGUGGCGAAGGCGCCCGACUGGAACGGACCUAACGGUGAGGGGCGAAAGCUUGGGGAGCGAACGGGAUUAGAUACCCCGGUAGUCCAAGCCGUAAAGCAUGCGGGUCAGGUGUUUGGCAUUCUUCGAGGGUGUCAAGUGCCGAAGGGAAGCCGUUAAGCCCGCCGCCUGGGAAGUACAGUCGCAAGGCCGAAACUUAAAGAAAUUGGCGGGGGAGCACCACAAGGGGUGGAGCCUGCGGUUUA